UUAACAAUUGUUUGGUACUCGGACAACACAAAAUCAAGAGUUUAGGGUAUGUCCUCUGGCAGGCACUGACCAGCAGAAGCCGGUGGUCAAAACGACGGGCUUGCCAAGGCAACAAAGGUAGUGUAAACAAAGGGUGGGAGAUCUACCCUCAGGGCAGGUUCUCUGUAAUGAUCCUUCCGCAGGUUCACCUACGGAAA
RNAcentral lists this unclassified non-coding RNA (197 nucleotides) under uncultured fungus. RNAcentral describes it as "sequence contains ITS1". The record is from RNAcentral. Lineage: Eukaryota; Fungi.